UUAAGUGCUCUGUUAAUGGGGUAGGAUCCGAGACUCCUUUCGGGGUUACACAGGCUCUCCUACCCAACUCCUAUUCCGUCACGUCCUCGUCGUAAAGAGUGGUUACUUGCCCCACCACAUAUCCAAGCUCGGAAUAAGGAUGGGGAUCUGGUCAGUUACCAGCCAG
RNAcentral lists this ribozyme (166 nucleotides) under Anopheles stephensi (Asian malaria mosquito). Its description in RNAcentral is "drz-agam-2-2 ribozyme". It matches the Rfam family "drz-agam-2-2 ribozyme". Lineage: Eukaryota; Metazoa; Arthropoda; Insecta; Diptera; Culicidae. The record is from Rfam by way of RNAcentral.